AGAUAACAAAGUUCACGAAAUAUGUACCUAGAUCUAAUGAACGCGAGUCAUUAGACUCUUGUGCCCACCUCCCAUGUUGCAUAUCCAGCCAUAAACAGUACCGAUUGAAAACCGUCUUUGAAUUGUGACUGCCAAUUCCUGUUUUAACAAUGGCAUCAGGAGGGUCAGUCAAAAAAGAUUCAGCUUUUUACAAAAAGGUUAUCAAUAAAUGCCUGA
Long non-coding RNA from Mercenaria mercenaria, 216 nucleotides. RefSeq lists it as uncharacterized. The transcript is spliced from 3 exons. The record is from RefSeq and is a predicted model, not a curated record. Lineage: Eukaryota; Metazoa; Mollusca; Bivalvia; Venerida; Veneridae.